UGAGUUUGAUCAUGGCUCAGGAUGAACGCUGGCGGCGUGCUUAACACAUGCAAGUCGAACGGAGAAGAGCAGAGUACUUGUACAAAGCUUUUCUUAGUGGCGGACGGGCGAGUAACGCGUGAGCAACCUACCUUUAACUGGGGAACGACAACGGGAAACUGUUGAUAAUACCGCAUAAAGUACCGAGAUGACAUCAUCAUGGUACCAAAGAAGCAAUUCGGUUAGAGAUGGGCUCGCGUCUGAUUAGAUAGUUGGUGAGGUAACGGCUCACCAAGUCUACGAUCAGUAGCCGGACUGAGAGGUCGAUCGGCCGCAUUGGGACUGAGACAUGGCCCAGACUCCUACGGGAGGCAGCAGUGGGGAAUAUUGGGCAAUGGGCGCAAGCCUGACCCAGCAACGCCGCGUGAAGGAAGAAGGCUUCCGGGUUGUAAACUUCUUUAGACAGGGACGAAACAAAUGACGGUACCUGUAAAAUAAGCCACGGCUAACUACGUGCCAGCAGCCGCGGUAAUACGUAGGUGGCGAGCGUUAUCCGGAUUUACUGGGUGUAAAGGG
This 555-nucleotide ribosomal RNA is filed under the name uncultured bacterium. RNAcentral's name for it is "bacterial SSU rRNA". It matches the Rfam family "Bacterial small subunit ribosomal RNA", at positions 1 to 567 of the family's 1533-position model. The record is from RNAcentral.